GAUGAACGCUGGCGGCGUGCCUAAUACAUGCAAGUCGAGCGAACGGACGAGAAGCUUGCUUCUCUGAUGUUAGCGGCGGACGGGUGAGUAACACGUGGAUAACCUACCUAUAAGACUGGGAUAACUUCGGGAAACCGGAGCUAAUACCGGAUGAUAUUUUGAACCGCAUGGUUCAAAAGUGAAAGACGGUCUUGCUGUCACUUAUAGAUGGAUCCGCGCUGCAUUAGCUAGUUGGUAAGGUAACGGCUUACCAAGGCAACGAUGCAUAGCCGACCUGAGAGGGUGAUCGGCCACGCUGGAACUGAGGCACGGUCCAGACUCCUGCGGGAGGCAGCAGUAGGGAAUCUUCCGCAAUGGGCGAAAGCCUGACGGAGCAACGCCGCGUGAGUGAUGAAGGUCUUCGGAUCGUAAAACUCUGUUAUUAGGGAAGAACAUAUGUGUAAGUAACUGUGCACAUCUUGACGGUACCUAAUCAGAAAGCCACGGCUAACUACGUG
This 497-nucleotide ribosomal RNA is filed under the name uncultured bacterium. Its description in RNAcentral is "partial 16S ribosomal RNA". It matches the Rfam family "Bacterial small subunit ribosomal RNA", at positions 28 to 507 of the family's 1533-position model. The record is from RNAcentral.